This 57-nucleotide microRNA precursor is filed under the name Monodelphis domestica (gray short-tailed opossum). RNAcentral describes it as "Mdo-Mir-17-P1c_pre stem-loop". It matches the Rfam family "mir-17 microRNA precursor family", at positions 12 to 80 of the family's 80-position model. Rfam says of the family: This family represents the microRNA (miRNA) precursor mir-17, family, which includes mir-20, mir-91, and mir-103. miRNAs are transcribed as ~70nt precursors (modelled here) and subsequently processed by the Dicer enzyme to give a ~22nt product. In this case the mature sequence comes from the 3' arm of the precursor. The extents of the hairpin precursors are not generally known and are estimated based on hairpin prediction. The record is from RNAcentral. Lineage: Eukaryota; Metazoa; Chordata; Mammalia; Didelphimorphia; Didelphidae.
AAAAGUGCUUAUAGUGCAGGUAGGUCGUGUAACUACUGCCCUGUGAGCACUUCCAAC